GAUGAAGAACGUAGCGAAAUGCGAUAAGUAGUGUGAAUUGCAGAAUUCAGUGAAUCAUCGAAUCUUUGAACGCACAUUGCGCCCCUUGGUAUCCCGAGGGGCAUGCCUGUUCGAGCGUCAUUUCACCACUCAAGCCUGGCUUGGUGUUGGGCGACGUCCUCUUUGGGGACGCGCCUCGAAACGCUCGGCGGCGUGGCACCGGCUUUAAGCGUAGCAGAAUCUUUCGCUUUGGAAGUCGGGGCCCCGUCUGCCGGAAGACCUGCUCGCAAGUUUGACCUCGGAUCAGGCAGGGAUACCCGCUGAACUUAAGCAUAUCAAUAAGCGGAGGA
RNAcentral lists this unclassified non-coding RNA (329 nucleotides) under soil metagenome. RNAcentral's name for it is "partial contains 5.8S ribosomal RNA, internal transcribed spacer 2, and large subunit ribosomal RNA". The stretch from base 1 to 120 matches the Rfam family "5.8S ribosomal RNA", at positions 35 to 154 of the family's 154-position model. The record is from RNAcentral.